CCGUCUUAAAGGCAUUUUCCAUCAAAAGGGCCCAUAAUUCCGACAUUCGAAAAGACGGCCGCAAACGCAUACACAC
Non-coding RNA from Caenorhabditis elegans, 76 nucleotides. NCBI's taxonomy places the organism in Eukaryota, Metazoa, Nematoda, Chromadorea, Rhabditida, Rhabditidae. The record is from Ensembl.